Acanthaster planci (crown-of-thorns starfish) is the source of this 3286-nucleotide long non-coding RNA. NCBI's taxonomy places the organism in Eukaryota, Metazoa, Echinodermata, Asteroidea, Valvatida, Acanthasteridae. The record is from RefSeq and is a predicted model, not a curated record.
GCGCAUUUAUACACUACACUUCGUUUGGUAAGCAUCGGCAACGAUCGGCGUGAAGUUGGGUGUAUUGGAGGAGUAACGAGAAUCUUGACAUGGACUGGAUCCGAGUUAACUAGAUCAGACCUUAAAGCAAGAAAAUUUUGGAAGAGAAGCAGAAAGAAGUCGCGAACAACAGAGCGUGGCAGUCGUAAAAAAGUCCUCGAGUGGAAAAGAUGUUUACUUGCAAGAUAUGCGAUAAGACGUUCACCAGAAGGGACAAUUACAGCCGUCACGCAGCCCGUCACAACGAUGCUAGCCAACAUCAGUGUAACUCGUGCGGCAAAGUAUUCGCUCGCCGUGACAACUACUUUCGACAUUUUAGGAGUCAUCAUGGUGAAGAGCAAAUCGGCUUUAGAGCGACAGCAGACGACCAACCAGUCGCAGCCAAACGACAGAAAAUUACCGAUUCCAACAACAUCGCAGACAUCACCGAUCUAUACCGUGUGAACAAGGUGAAAGAGGUAGAGAUGAAAAAGUUUAGCACGAAAGGGUUAGACUACACCGUCACCUUUGAGGACAACCUGGAUAUCUCUGACACAACAGCCGUGUUGCAGAUUUGGAUAGCCAAACCAGCCAGGUGCAGGCCCCAAGGAUCUCAUGCGUAUGGUGGUCAGGUGUCCCGAGCUCGACUACCCCAUCCAGUUACCGUUCAUCACCAAGGAUCAGUUGACGGCGGAACGAUUUAUGUCCCGAAUUGAGCUGGUGGUCAGAGGUAAAGAAGAAUUUUCCUUGGAUAGCACUCUUCAUAUCAACAUAACCCAUGUGGCCAUGCCACUUGGGGAAAAAUUAACAAGAAACGUUAUGUCAAUUUCGAACGCUUCCUCAAACAGAAAAAACAAUGCAUAAUACAAAUAAACAAAGAUGAACUGUGCUGUGUUAGAGCAAUAGUCACAGCAAAGGCUAAAAUUGAGGGGCAUGAAUGCUGAGAGGCCAUUCGCAAAGGAUGUACAAUUCAAUUGAAUCUGGCCGAGGACCUUCACAAACGUGCUGGGAUUCUGUUUUCAAAGUGUAGUAUGGGGGAAAUCAAACAAUUUCUACGCGUUCUUCCCGGAUAUCAGAUUUUGGUAGCUUCUACAGAACAUGCGAACUCCAUCAUUUUCAAAGGUCCACCAGCAGGCAAACAGAUAUGCCUGUAUUUUCACCACGGCCACUGCGACUUCAUCGCAAAAAUGCCAGCCUUUGUAAACAGAAGCUAUUUUUAUGUCACGUCCCUGAAGGGGGUUCGAUCAAGGCACUAUGCAUGGAUAUGCCAACGGAUGAAACCUCUCCCGGCAUCGACCCCUUCCAGCAGUGUAUUACCAUUGCGUCAGCCUGCUAUCUCGUGUACCGCACCAAGCACUUUAACCCAGAUACCAUUGGCAUCAUCCACUCUUCAGGGUACUGUUCAAAUGACCGUCUGUCAGUCAAGGCCCUCCAGUGGCUGAAAUGGACAGCCCACGAAACCGGUCAUAACAUUCAGUAUCCGGGUAACAAUGGAGAGGUGCAUGUUGGGAAAUAAAGAGUUGACUGCUUCUACAUCGAUAAUGGUGUAAAGACGGUCCUGGAGUUUAACGGCUGCCUCCAUCAUGGGCAUACGUUUUUGGCUCGCGAAACCAAACAUCCCUUCAACGGCCUAACGAUGGAGGAACUUCAUCAGUAGACGCUAGAGAGACGCAAAUUUAUCUUUGAUCAAGGCUACCGGUGUAUCGAGCAGUGGGAGUUUGAUGAUCUUGUUAAGCUGAUGAAAGAACGUGAUAGGAUCCAUACGGCUGCUAUCAAACUUAAUUGCCAGGAAUUGUGGGAUAAGUAUAGCAGUUUACGGAAUACAGUUACACAUAUGUUACAGAAACAGAAACGUGAUCACAACUGUAGUCUGAUCAAUGAUAAUGCUGGAAACAGCAAAAAGAUACGGAGCUGCCUUAAGGCGGUAACUCCAAACCAAGGUCCCAUUCUCCCUAGUUCGAUCGAGGUAAACGGAACGGACUGCAGUGAAACUGAUGUAAUAGCUAACACAUUUAAUGAUUAUCUUGUGUCCUAUGCCGAAAACGUCACAAAAGACUUACCUGAUACUAUUCCUAUUGUCUUUACUGACUUUCCUCGUAGUGAUGAUUGUGUUUUCAACCUGAGAUCUGUAUCGAGUGACUUUGUGCAAAGAACUAUCAUUACUAUGAAUGUUGCCAAAGCGACAGGGAAUGGCCAACUUAGCUGUCUUUGACGAAAAUCUUAAAUAUGUCCUUGGUGCAUGGAUAUGUGCCUGACGGAGAGAAGAGUGCAAAAAUAGUUCGAAUCUUUAAGUCUGGAAAUACCUCUGAUAUAGGUUACUAUCGGCCUAUUUCCAUCUUGCCAAUGGUAAGUGAAAUCUUGGAGAGGGCUGUGUACACGCAAUUGCAUGAAUUUAUUAACGAACAUGAUUCGAUGCAUCCCAACCAGUGUAGGUUCCGCCCAAUGCACUCCACGACUACGAUUCUUGCCAAAAUGGUCAAUCAGUGGAGCAGAAAUGUUGAAGGCGGUGAUCUGACAGUUGUAGGUUUUAUUGAUCUUAGAAAGGCUUUCGAUACAGUUAACCACGGAAUUCUUCUGGCUAAAUUAAGCUCUCUGGGUUGUUCAGCGUGUGCCUUAAAAUGGUUCUCUAGCUACUCGUCAGGUCGAACAUAACGAGUCUACUUGAACAAAGCUAGCUCCAAACUUCAGUCUGUUACUCACGGUGUUCUGCAAGGAUCAAUUCUGGGUCCUCUUUUAUUUUCCAUUUAUGUUAACUCCAUACUACAAUACUAUUUAACGGUAAAUUACAUAUUAACUCAAAAGAGUUCGGCAGUGUGCUCAUUGAGGCUUUCGAUGUAAUCCAAGAUUGCAAUAUUUCCCGUGAAAAACGGGAAGACUGGUGAGAUAUUUCCUCUCCAGAUUGGAGUACAGCAAUCGUAUAUCGUGACCUAGGUUCCGAUAUUGGCGGAUAUAGUAAACCAGGAAGCGAAAAGAGGGAUGUUUAUUUUGGCGUAUCAGUCGCUGGAGCAAGGAAAAUCUGUACGUCAUAAGACGAGCUUUCAAACAGUUCAACCCCAGCCCUCCUUUGUCUGGAGGUUGAAACACAAUUUAUCUUUUAAGCCAGUGACGUUUAUCAGUCCAAACAAAAUAAAUUAAAAGUUCUUGGGGUUGAUCCAGGACGUGACUGGGAGGAGGAAGAACUGUCAAAAAAUGAAGAAGACUUGAAGCGCAGUUUGAUUGGCAAUUAUUAUUCUUCCUUUGAAAGACAUGGUACAAGCCAGGCUGCUCC